GCGCUGAGGGAUGGGCUCGCGGCCUAUCAGCUAGUUGGUGGGGUAACGGCCUACCAAGGCAUCGACGGGUAGCUGGUCUGAGAGGACGAUCAGCCACACUGGGACUGAGACACGGCCCAG
RNAcentral lists this ribosomal RNA (120 nucleotides) under uncultured bacterium. Its description in RNAcentral is "partial 16S ribosomal RNA". It matches the Rfam family "Bacterial small subunit ribosomal RNA", at positions 215 to 334 of the family's 1533-position model. The record is from RNAcentral.